This 8177-nucleotide long non-coding RNA is filed under the name Nicotiana tabacum (common tobacco). RNAcentral describes it as "long non-coding RNA (NTAB_LNC002803)". The record is from RNAcentral. Lineage: Eukaryota; Viridiplantae; Streptophyta; Magnoliopsida; Solanales; Solanaceae.
CUCUCAAUCAACAAAUGUACUCACUCCCUAGGUCUACUGCUGCUAACAACCGAAUAUGCACAAAAAUAUGCAGAAGCAUAGUAUGAGUACGGAACAACAUAUAUUCAGUAAGUAUCACUAACCUCGGUAAAGUAGUGACGAGGUAAAAGGCAUGUGAUACUCACUAAUCAAAGAACCUAUGCAUUUUAUCUAAAUAACUGGCAACAAGAAUAUAACAAGAUGUAAUGUCAUCAACUCAACUAAACAAGAGUUAUCAACUCAGCAUAGGUAAAUAAAUCAUGACAAUCGAAUCAUCGGUCAAUAACAGAGGCAUAGAGUAGCAUGUUAAAAUUAAAACAUAAAGGCAUAUUAAAUGCAUUAAAAGGCAUAAAGGAUUCACUUGCAUGGCCAAUCUUCCACCCUUACACUCAACUUACAACAUCCACCUCUACAUCAGAAUCAACAACAUUAGUCAAGGUAUCAUAAUCCGCGUGUACACCAUCAAGAGAGAAACAUAAGAGGGCGACCCUAGGGAUAUGGAUUCAUAUUCACACACUGCACGGCAAAUAUUCAUGCCAUAACAAUAAGCGCACCGCAAAGACCUCGUGCCACAACAUCAUCAUGCCAUAAUAUCCGCACGAAAAAGACCUCGUUCCAACACCAAAACAAUUCGCUCAACAUGCACAUCUGUGCCUAAAUUAUAACAAUCUAAGAUAAUAAUUUAUCAUCAAGGAGAUAUAUGCUCACAGGUCAUCAAUAAGGUGCACAAGAACAUAAUAAUAAUAGAAUGUGGAUGUGUGCUCAAGAUGUAAAAUAUGACUACGACUAAAUCAAUAUAGAAAUGAUUUCAAAAAUGUCCAUCUUGGCUAAUUGGGAUAUUUUAAUCCUAAAUCAUAAUUUCUAGCAUGGAAGGAUAAGCUCGCGUAGUCAUACAAAGGAUUACGCAUGUAUUAUAGAGAGCAUACAAUCAAAUUAAGGCAUAAUAGAAGCCUGGAGACUAAUUCGAUUAUUUUUCAUACACAGCACAAGUGUAUUCUCUCGUAACCUCGCAUAUAUGUUGCUUUACAUACGUGGCAAUUAGAUAAAUAAGGUCUAAUCCUAAGGGUUAUUCCCUCACACAAGAUUAGGCAAGAUACUUAUCUCAAAUGGACGAAAAUCAAUACUUCAAAAAUGCCUUACCCUUAGAAACCACCUUUGGCCUAGUCGAAUCUAGAUAAAAACAACCCAAUAACGUCAAACAAAGUCAUAGUAAUCAAUUCUACACAAUAAAGGUUCAAUCUUUAAUCAAAUCUCAGAAGUCAACAAAAUAUAACUCGGGCCCACAUGGUCAAAACUCGAGUCAAGAGGUAGAUCCGAACUACCCAUAAUUUCAUAAGUCCAAAUAUGUAAUUUGAUUCCAAAAUCAAGUCAAAAUCAUAGCUCAAAAUCCCAAUUUUCACUCUCUUAAGUUGUAGAAAAAACCACCAAAUUUCUUUCAAAAUUCCAUAUUUUGGAUGUUAAAAAUCCAUGUAUAUUCUUAAAUUACUAUCAAAAAUUAUAGAAAUCACUUACCCCAAAGUCUUGCGUGAAGAUCUCCAAGCCAAAUUUGUCUCUCCCAAGUAUAGGAUUGAAAAAUAUGAAAAAUGGCUAAAAUCUCGAAUUUCAUCACUUAAAUGCACUGCCCAGAGGUACCCUUCGCGAAUGCGGCACGUGCCUCGUGUUCGCGGAGCACAACAGCUUCUGGCCCAAAAAAUAUCCUUCGCGUUCGCAGAACCUCCCUCACGAACGCGGUGCAUAAAUCCUGCCUCCCUACGCGAUCGUGGCCAGGCCUUCGCGAAUGCGAAAGCAAAAUCUACAACUCCUAGUUCCCCCUCCACGAACGCGACACCCCAGUCCCGAUAGCGAAGAACAAAACUUGCACAGUACCAUAUCCUUCAUCGUGAACGCUAGGCUCCUCCAGCGAACGCGAUUAACACCAGACACCAGCAGAAUCAACCAACUCCAAACUUACUCCGGGUGGUUUGAAACUCACCCGAGCCAACCGAAGACCCUAACCAAUUAUACCAAUAAGUCCAUAAACACUGGACUUAUCGAAAGCCUCCAGAUACAUAUGAUAAUAUCACUUCAACGAAUCAAAGAUCAAAACAUAGUUCGAACUUCUCUUAAGUUUAAGAACUUCUAACUUCAAAUCAAGUGUUUGAUUCAAGCCUAACCUCUCUAAAUUACAACCAAACUUUGCAUACAAGUUCUAAAUGACAAACAAACAUAUCCUAAUUUUUGGAACAAUAAUCCAAACCUGAUACCAUCAAAGUCAACUCCCGGUCAAACUAGGAACUCUCCAAAUCUUCAAAUUGCCAACUUUCGGCAAAUACAACCAAAACAUCCUAGGAACCUCAAAAUCAAAUUCGGACAUACACCUAAGUCAAAAAUUACCAUACAAAUAUAUUGAAAAUAUCAAAUUACCAAUUUGAGGUUGUUAACACAAAAGUCAAACAUUGGUUUACUCUUUUAAUUUAAACUUCCAAUAAAGGAACUAAGUGUUCUAACUCACUCCAAAACCUUUUCGAAACCAAACCAACCAUCCCCGCAAGUCCCAAAAUAAUGAACAAGCAUACUAAAAAUAUCAAAUAGGGAAACGGGAGUCACAUACACAAAAUAAUCGGUCGGGUCGUUACAAUAAAAUAUAUAAUAAAAAAUUAAGACAUGUAUAUAAGAAGUUAAUAACAAAUGGAACUGUAGCUAUUAUAUAUGUGAGAUCAAGCAAGAAUCAAGCUGAUCCACUUACAAGAGCAUUACAGAAAGAUGCAGUACAAACACAUUAUGAAGGAAUGAGACUAAAACCCUUACACUGAACACAAGUAACUGAAACCCAACUUUGAAUUAGUAUACAUUUUAACAAUACAAGUUCACUGGAUAAUAACAAGUUACUUUGUAUUGUUAAAGCACGGACCUCCUUUAAAGGGUCUGAUUCAAGUGUAUUACAUAUUGUUACAUAAGGAGUUAAGGAGCUGUCGGAUGCUUAUUAUAACAGGGGAAUAAAGACAAAUUCUAUAGUACAAACCAUUACGAGAAAAGGUUGAUUUAAUUCCUAAUGGAGUUAGCAAGUGUCAGAAGUAACAGAGACACAAUGUCUAACUCUACCUAUUUGAAAGGGCUCAAUAGGUUUGGUGGGCCAAGCUUUAACGAAAGGCCCUAAAUUUAAAAAAAUUAAUAUUUAUUUUAUUUGAAAUUUAUUUUUUAGUAUUUUGAUAUGUAAAAUUAUACAUAAUUUUCUAAAUUACUAUUGAUAUGAAUGUUAAAGUUACUAGACUAUAUAAAUUAUUCAUAAUUUUUUUAAAUUACCAAUGCACUCAUUUCUCUUCUUGUAAUAAAUAAAAUUGGUUUAAAAUUUUAUUUAUUUUUCGAUCAUAUACACACCGUAGAAUUUAUUAGGUCUAUUUAUUGUGUAUUAUAUGCAACUGAUCAUGUAUGUACAUGUAUAUUCAAAUAUAUUUUGUCAUUGCCUGGUUAAUAUAGAGUUCGAUCGACUAACUUAAGAGUGCACAAUGUGUAGGCAUUUAAUUAAAGCAAAGUUGAAUUAGACAAUGUAAAGUCUCUGAGGAACUUCAACUUCAAUCAUUAAUACUUGCAAAAUCUCCAUACAUUUGGUGCAACGAAUUCAUUAAAAUUGGGAUGUAGUAAAUACUUUUAGAAUUUAGAAAAGGUAUCUAAUUUAGAUUUUUUAAUUUACUGUACUUUGUUUAUUCGGUUGUAUUAUUAAAUAUUUUUUUCUCCAAUUUGAAUGUCAAUUAUUUCAAAAAUAAUGGACCAAGAAGAACAACAAGUGAUUUAAAUAAAAGGAAUUUAGGAGAUUUUGGAUUACUUAACAGAUCAAGGAGUAUUUUUAAAAGUUUGCUGAUUAUAGGGAUAAAUUUGGCCCGAUAGUAUAACGGUAAGGGUAAAUUUGGCCCGAUAGUAUAACGGAGGUUAAAUAUAUACAAUAUAUGAAAGUAGAGGGUAUAUUUGGCCCUUUUCCCAUUUAACUAAGGGCCCUUUUGGACAUAAAAUUUGGUUGAAGUUUUUUCCAAAAGAAUUUCACUUUUUUCUGAAAUCAGCGUUUGUUCAUAAAAUUUUCAAUUUUCACUUGAAGAUACAUUUUGGAAAUUUUCGAAAAUUUGAAAAACUGCAAAAAGCUAUUUUUCAAAAUUUUCACUCAAAUCACUCACAAAACUUCAAAAACAACCCAAACUAAAAUUUAUGUCCAAACACAACUCUAAAUUUUAAAUAUCAUUUUCACUUGAAAAAAAAAUUCAUCAUUUUUUUUGAAUUUUACAAUUCUUAUGUCCAAACGCCUACUAAGUAUUCUAUUGUGGGUAAAAAUUGGGGCCCCUAAAAGAGUGAGGCCUAAAGCAAAUGAUUUAGUAGGUUCACCCGUCAGCCGGCCCUGCCUAUUUGAAUAUUAAAGUGGUGCCACUUCAAACAAGAUCUAGAGGGUUGAUCCUGUAAAUAUUUAUGAAGGCAGGAUUAGUAGCACUUGGCCAUCAAAGUACUAACUACUAAGUAUGAUUUGUCUAGCCGCUUUAAUAAUAUCAUAUGUGUGAUACUUUCAUUGUGGUAUAAUGAGUAACGAUUCAAAUCUAUGAAUACCACCAACUUCGUCGAACUUUAAAGUAUUUACGCUUAUAAAAAGUUCAAAUCUAUUUAAGCUACUUUCUGCUAUUCAUAAUAUUAUUACUGUACAAGCUAGUCGGGAUUGUUAGAAAGCUUGUACAGUGGGAGACAAAGUCCCUCAUUGAUUAACUUAAGUGUUAUUUGAGGAUAUUUACACCCUAUAGUAACAAUUUAACUUUGAGUAAUUCUGAAAGGAAUUUGUUUUUUUCCCCUAAAGAAUAUACAAGUAAAAUCUCUUUAAGGACAGGAAAUUUAUUCAUAUCUUAAAGUAUUCUCUUCUAAUUCUCUCUUCUUGUUUUCUAAUAUAUUAUGCAAUUAACUUUAUUUGCCUUUAUAUGUAUGUAAGCUAUUGCACAGACUUAUUUUUAUAAUCAUUUCUCGGGAUAAUGCAUGUACUUUUAAAAGGUGGUGCUUGUGCAUGAUUACGGUCUAAAAUUAUUAUAAAAUUUAAGUAAGAUUAAAAUUAAAGAACUUACAAGUAUAGAGCCACAUACUAAAUAUAUAAAUGUAAAAUGUUGCCCAUUAAUAAAAUUUUGUAGCAUUGCGCCAUAUAAAUAUUUUGCAUGUAAAUUUCAAUAUUUCCAACUUUGUUGAAUGGUAAGAUCAAAAAUCUCAUACCGCGUGAUGGGCAGCCAACAUCAUCUUGUCGAGCGAAUCACAAGCAUAAAAUCAAUAAAUUCAAUCCACAUGAUAUCAAUAUAAAAAGGGCAGGAACAUAAUAAACCAACACUGGAAAUUCAAUAUAACAUGAAUGUAACGAUCCGACCGGUUGUUUUGAGAAUUAAUGUCCCGUUCGGUGGCUUCACGUCUCGAGCAACUUGUAUUAUAUGUUAUGACGUGCGUGCGUGGCCGAGUUCGAUUUUCGGAUGACUCGGGAUUAAUUUGGAAGAAGGAUUCUUGUUUUAGAAACUUAAGCGGUAAGAGUUGACCGGAAUUUAACUUUUGUGUAGAAGACUCCGAAAUGGCGUUUUGAUGAUUCUAAUAACUUCUUAUGGUAUUUUUGGACAUAGACGUGCAUCCGGAUUUGGAUUUGGAGGUUCAUAGGGUAAUUUGAAGCAUUUCGGCAAAAAUUGAAAAAUUGAAGUUUUGGAAGGUUGAGAGGUUUAACCGAGAGUUGACCUUGGUGAUAUCGGAGUCGGAUUUCAAUUUCGAGAAUUGGAUUAGCUCUGUUGUAUCAUUUGGGACUUGCAUACAAAAUGUGACGUCGUUCCGGGUUGAUUUGAUAUGUUUCGGCGCGCGUUUUAGAAGUUGGAAGAUUUGAAAGUUCAUAUGUUUGAUUCGUGGUUUCGACGUUGUUGCUGUGAUUUGAGACCUUGAGCGGGUCCGUGUUAUGUUAUGAAACUUGUUGGUAUAUUUUGACGGGGUCCCGAGGGCCCCGGGCAUGUUUCGGAUGGGCAACGGGCCAUUAUCUUAUGUUUUGGAAUGCUGCAUUUCUGGUGUCUGGUGUCCUUCUCUGCAAUUGUGUACGUAAAGCCGCGAUCGCGAAGGCUAUUUGGUGGACCGAUCAUUUUUUCUCUUCGCGUUCGCAUGAUGUGGCCCGUAAUCGCGUACGUAUGUAUCCUCCGUCUUCGCGUUCGCACUCAUAGUUUCGCGUUCGCGUAGCACAGCCUUAGCAGUUGGUAUUUUUCUUCUCCUUCCCGAUCGCAUGUACUCGUUCGCGAUCGCGUAGUACACUUCUUGGGGAAGCAGUUGUCACACCUCCUUUUUUCCGAGGGGGAUAGGGGAUUUUUUUCAAUUAAAGUGACAUUAAUCGAAAUAGGAUUAUUUAUUUAAUCAGAGUCGCCACUUGAAAUGAUUUAUGGUGUCCCAAAUCACCGAUUUAUUUUAAAUCCCAAAUCGAAGAAAUUGACUCUUAUUUAUGGCCUGCGAAUACAGAAGACCGGGUAAGGAAUUCUGUUAACCCGGAAGAAGGUGUGAUGCACUCUCGAGUUCCGUGAUUUUAGCACGGUCGCUUAACAAUUAAUAUUUGGCCUAAUUAUCUGAUUUAUUUCAUGUUUUAAGACUUGUGUGCAUUUUUACCUUCGAACCGCUUUUAAAUAGAAUUUUAACUGCUUUUCAGGACUUAUGGCAUUUAAAUAAGUUGCGAUGUCGCGCACUUAUUGUUUUUGUAUACAUUGUGAAUCGCGUCACGUGAAAAGCACAGGGCGAUUUACAACAUGUUAAUUUUAAUUAUUAUUUGAAGUUCUGAUCGAGUCACGUAAAACGCACACUCGAAUGGGAUUUACGUAUCAUGACCAUGCUACGGGAACCGUACCCAUGGCCAUGAUGAUUUAUUAAUCACGCCUAAAGCAAGUUACGAUGUUCAUGAUUAUUUCUUUCUAAGUUUGGGAUGGAUGUGGAGGUCAUCAGUUAUGGAUUUAUUUUGUGCAAGAAUUAGCAUCGGUUCUGGUAAUGAUAUGAUCCAACUCUUCUUCAACAUACGCAUGUAUGAAACACAAACGUAUCUUAAAUGGUAUACAUGAAUACAAACCAACAUCAAAUUGAGUCUACAAAUCCAGCAUUUGCUUAUCUUAAAGAUGUGUUUAAAAUUAGCACAACCAAAGUCUUAUAUGACAUUACUGUAAUAAAUACCAAGAAAAAUGAUUCCAACUCAAUGUUCCUUCUGUUUUGCACACUCUCGUCUUCAACCACUGUAUUUGGAUUCAAGCUUUAACGAAUUAAUUGACUCUCUCAAUGAUUCAGAUGCGAUUCAUAAAAAUAUAUUUUUAUAGACUCAACUUAAAGCUCGUAGUAUUGAAAUUAUAGCUUUCUUACUGCUCGGAAUCUCUUUAUACUCAAUGUUUCAUGCAAACUUUAAUUUAAAAGAACAGGAGAACAAAUUCAAAUAUCAGUCAUUACAAUCCCUAAGUGGAACAACAUGUACCUAAUGAAACAAAAAUAGAAUUAUAUGUGAAUUUGUAUGAGACACAUGAUAAUUAUACACAUCAAUUCAUAUAAUAUAACGGCAGAUUAGAUGAAAUCAGUAAUCAACAAACACUAAGUAACAAACAUUUCAAUGAAAUUUCAGCAUGUAUGUGACAAAUUUGAGCGCACACUAAAUGAGAGAUUAAAGGAAUACCUAAAAUGAAAAAUCACAAUGAGAAUGCCGAUAGAGGCUAGAUGAUAAAUGUAAGGAACUCAGCAACGCAGAUCCCACAGAAUCAGUACACAGCAACCACCAAUUUGAGCUUUGAUAGCUUGCAGAAAUCCAGGAAGAAAAGAAAUUCAUCUUUGAACUCGUUUUUCUUCAAAUCUUCAUUGAAAAAUCCAGUUUUCUUUCUAUUAUUUCUAGCUUUUCAUUUUCAGAUCUAGUUUUGACAUUUUCCAAUGCAUCUAGACGGCUUAGGCACGUAUGUGAGAAUGAGGAGUAUUGUGUAGGGGAUUCGGUGAGAGAGCCGGAGAAGGAGGAGAGGCGGUUUUAAAAUGGGGGAAGGUCCUGAGAGAGAUUGAAGAUGGAACAGAGGGAGGGGUGUGCCGCUGCUUGUUGAAGUGAGGGGGGUCCGUUCUUUUCAGUGUUGAGAAUCAAAGGGGAGGGUGAAAUUAGGGUCUAUUUUAGAGAUGAAGAGGGAAUAUUGGGCUGGCGGGUAGUG